GGAGAGGUGGCCGAGUGGUUGAAGGCGCUCGCCUGGAAAGCGUGUAAGGGGGAAACUCCUUCGCGGGUUCGAAUCCCGCCCUCUCCGCCA
Molecule: transfer RNA, 90 nt
Filed under: Chloroflexi bacterium HGW-Chloroflexi-9
Lineage: Bacteria; Bacillati; Chloroflexota
Also listed under: 1 other name
Description: tRNA-Ser
Rfam family: tRNA
About the family: Transfer RNA (tRNA) molecules are approximately 80 nucleotides in length.
Source: RNAcentral